RNAcentral lists this ribosomal RNA (484 nucleotides) under uncultured bacterium. RNAcentral describes it as "partial 16S ribosomal RNA". It matches the Rfam family "Bacterial small subunit ribosomal RNA", at positions 29 to 507 of the family's 1533-position model. The record is from RNAcentral.
AUUGAACGCUGGCGGCAUGCUUUACACAUGCGAGUCGAACGGCAGCGCGGGCUUCGGCCUGGCGGCGAGUGGCGAACGGGUGAGUAAUACAUCGGAACGUGCCCAGUAGUGGGGGAUAGCUCGGCGAAAGCCGGAUUAAUACCGCAUACGACCUGAGGGUGAAAGCGGGGGAUCUUCGGACCUCGCGCUAUUGGAGCGGCCGAUGGCAGAUUAGCUAGUUGGUGGGGUAAAGGCCUACCAAGGCGACGAUCUGUAGCUGGUCUGAGAGGACGACCAGCCACACUGGGACUGAGACACGGCCCAGACUCCUACGGGAGGCAGCAGUGGGGAAUUUUGGACAAUGAGCGAAAGCCUGAUCCAGCAAUGCCGCGUGUGUGAUGAAGGCCUUCGGGUUGUAAAGCACUUUUGGCGGGAACGAAAAGGACUGUGCCAAUACCACGGUUCGAUGACGGUACCCGCAGAAUAAGCACCGGCUAACUACGUG